RNAcentral lists this long non-coding RNA (683 nucleotides) under Salvia miltiorrhiza (redroot sage). RNAcentral's name for it is "long non-coding RNA (SMIL_LNC010534)". The record is from RNAcentral. Lineage: Eukaryota; Viridiplantae; Streptophyta; Magnoliopsida; Lamiales; Lamiaceae.
UUUUAUACACAUAUCCCACAUCUUAUAAACUCAUCUAAAUAUAUCUAAACAAUAAAAAACAAAAAAAAAUUAAAAUUCAGUUUCAUCUUCAACUAAAUUUAUUAUUACAAAAACAUUGCAAUUAAUACUCAUCAAGAACACUAGUAACCCCAACCCUUGAAGAUUCCAAUAAAAACCAAUUAAUUAACACAACACCCACCAAAAGUCAUCACCAUGGCCGCCGCCGUCAACUCCAAUUCCAUGGCGAUCAUCAUCCUGCUCUUGUCCGCCGCAGUCCUGGCCGCGAGCACCUCAAUGCCACCGCCGCAAGAUGCUAGGUCCGUGGAGGCGUGCGUUAAGCUCCUAUUUGAUCCUCCGCGGCGGGCUCCGCCGCCGCUGACGCGCAAUCUGUGCCAGGACACGCUGCGGGCGGUUGUUAAGUCUUUCAGGAUCACCGGAAACUUGUCGGCGGAAUACUUGGCGGCGCUGAAGAAACUUCCCAAGUUCCAGAAGAAUCCAGAAGCUCUCCACAAAUUCCUUUGCGGGCUCUCACCUGCGCACUGCGAUACCUUUACUGUGACCACUAAUUUUUAGUAUUUUUAUUUAAACAUGAGAGAAUUCUUUUCAUUUACAAGAAUCUAUGUUUAAUUCCUCAUCACAUAUUAUUGCCGGUAAAUUUCCUUUCAUAUUAUAAUAAGCUGUUG